GUGCUCGCUUUGGUAGCACAUGCACUAAAAUCAGAAUGGCGCAGAGUGGUUUAGUGCUGCCCCUGCGCAAGGAUAUCAUGCGAAAAGAUUCUACUUUCUCUU
RNAcentral lists this small nuclear RNA (102 nucleotides) under Mus pahari (shrew mouse). Its description in RNAcentral is "predicted gene, 47290 (MGP_PahariEiJ_G0033783.1)". Lineage: Eukaryota; Metazoa; Chordata; Mammalia; Rodentia; Muridae. The record is from RNAcentral.